Molecule: ribosomal RNA, 254 nt
Filed under: uncultured bacterium
Lineage: Bacteria
Description: partial 16S ribosomal RNA
Rfam family: Bacterial small subunit ribosomal RNA
Source: RNAcentral
CACGUAGGGCGCAGGCGUUGUCCGGAAUUAUUGGGCGUAAAGAGCUCGUAGGCGGUCUGUUGCGUCCGCUGUGAAAACUCGGGGCUUAACCCCGAGCCUGCAGUGGAUACGGGCAGACUAGAGGUAGGUAGGGGAGAAUGGAAUUCCCGGUGUAGCGGUGAAAUGCGCAGAUAUCGGGAGGAACACCGGUGGCGAAGGCGGUUCUCUGGGCCUUACCUGACGCUGAGGAGCGAAAGUGUGGGGGAGCGAACAGG